Molecule: ribosomal RNA, 100 nt
Filed under: uncultured bacterium
Lineage: Bacteria
Description: partial 16S ribosomal RNA
Source: RNAcentral
CACACCGCCCGUCACAUCACGAAAAGUGGGCUGUACUAGAAGCAGGUGGGCCAACCGCAAGGGGGGCAGCCUUCCAAGGUAUAACUCAUGAUUGGGGGUG